GACGAACGCUGGCGGCGUGCCUAAUACAUGCAAGUAGAACGCACAGUUUAUACCGUAGCUUGCUACACCAUAGACUGUGAGUUGCGAACGGGUGAGUAACGCGUAGGUAACCUGCCUGGUAGCGGGGGAUAACUAUUGGAAACGAUAGCUAAUACCGCAUAAUAUUAAUUAUUGCAUGAUAAUUGAUUGAAAGGUGCAAUUGCACCACUACCAGAUGGACCUGCGUUGUAUUAGCUAGUAGGUGAGGUAACGGCUCACCUAGGCGACGAUACAUAGCCGACCUGAGAGGGUGAUCGGCCACACUGGGACUGAGACACGGCCCAGACUCCUACGGGAGGCAGCAGUAGGGAAUCUUCGGCAAUGGACGAAAGUCUGACCGAGCAACGCCGCGUGAGUGAAGAAGGUUUUCGGAUCGUAAAGCUCUGUUGUAAGAGAAGAACGGGUGUGAGAGUGGAAAGUUCACACUGUGACGGUAUCUUACCAGAAAGGCGG
This 492-nucleotide ribosomal RNA is filed under the name Streptococcus gordonii. Its description in RNAcentral is "bacterial SSU rRNA". It matches the Rfam family "Bacterial small subunit ribosomal RNA", at positions 28 to 494 of the family's 1533-position model. Lineage: Bacteria; Bacillati; Bacillota; Bacilli; Lactobacillales; Streptococcaceae. The record is from RNAcentral.